Molecule: ribosomal RNA, 468 nt
Filed under: uncultured bacterium
Lineage: Bacteria
Description: partial 16S ribosomal RNA
Rfam family: Bacterial small subunit ribosomal RNA
Source: RNAcentral
GACGAACGCUGGCGGCGUGCUUAACACAUGCAAGUCGAACGGAAAGGCCCUGCUUUUGUGGGGUGCUCGAGUGGCGAACGGGUGAGUAACACGUGAGUAACCUGCCCUUGACUUUGGGAUAACUUCAGGAAACUGGGGCUAAUACCGGAUAGGAGCUCCUGCUGCAUGGUGGGGGUUGGAAAGUUUCGGCGGUUGGGGAUGGACUCGCGGCUUAUCAGCUUGUUGGUGGGGUAGUGGCUCACCAAGGCUUUGACGGGUAGCCGGCCUGAGAGGGUGACCGGCGACAUUGGGACUGAGAUACGGCCCAGACUCGUACGGGAGGCAGCAGUGGGGAAUAUUGCACAAUGGGCGGAAGCCUGAUGCAGCAACGCCGCGUGCGGGAUGACGGCCUUCGGGUUGUAAACCGCUUUCGCCUGUGACGAAGCGUGAGUGACGGUAAUGGGUAAAGAAGCACCGGCUAACUACGUG